AUCUUUUUGUUUCGGUCCCGUGUGGCUCAGUUGGUAGAGCAUGGUGUUUGCAACGCCAGGGUUGUGGGUUCGAUUCCCACGGGGGACCAGUAUGGAGAAAAAAAAAGUAUGAAAUGUAUGCAUUUGCUACUAGGACCUGAGCUGUAGGACCAUGCCUCAGGACUACCUGGCCUGAUGACUCCUUGUUGUCCCCAGUCUACCCGGUGGUGCUGCUGCCCCAGUUUCAACUCUUCUGCCUGCGGCUAUGGAACCCUGACCUGUUCCCCGGACAUGCUACCUUGUCCCGGACCUGCUGUUUCGACUCUCUCUUUCUACCGCACCUGCUGUAUCUGACUCUGAAUGAUUGGCUAUGAAAAGCCAACUGGCAUUUACUCCUGUGGUGCUGACUGUAGCACCCUCUACAACCACUGUGAUUAUUAUUAUUUGACCCUGCUGGUCAUCUAUGAACGUUUGAACAUCUUGGCCAUCUACUAUUAUAAUCUCUACCCGGCAUAGCUAGAAGAGGACUGGCCACCCCUCAGAGCCUGGUUCCUCUCUAGGUUUCUUCCUAGGUUCCUGCCUUUCUAGGGAAUUUUAUUUGUGUCCCUGUCUUUGUCAAAGUGGGCACUGCUUAUCACAGGGCGGCAUCAGCUCUCACCUAAAAAGCUCAUAUGCCACUGGUUGAAAGAAAUUGUCAUUGUUUUUGGGCAGAAUUAUGUGAUGUUUUAUGUGUUGUUGGUGUGUCUUGGUCAGUUUAGCUCAGAAAAUGUUGUCCUGCCUAAUUAUUUGGCCCGGCCCUGCACUGACAGGCAGCGCACUGCCAAU
This 804-nucleotide transfer RNA is filed under the name Salmo salar (Atlantic salmon). RNAcentral describes it as "lncRNA (ENSSSAG00000120172.1)". The stretch from base 16 to 87 matches the Rfam family "tRNA". The record is from RNAcentral. Lineage: Eukaryota; Metazoa; Chordata; Actinopteri; Salmoniformes; Salmonidae.